Molecule: unclassified non-coding RNA, 271 nt
Filed under: Hevea brasiliensis (rubber tree)
Lineage: Eukaryota; Viridiplantae; Streptophyta; Magnoliopsida; Malpighiales; Euphorbiaceae
Source: RNAcentral
GUCAGGAGCCACAAGUGAAAAAACUUGAUGAGGUUGAUUCUGUAGUUCGUGAAAGAGAGAAUGGUCAAAUUCAGCUUACAUCAGAUGAUAUCGAGGAGCUUAUGAAACAAAUUGUAGAUGAUCCUGUGCUAGAGUCGCCAUCAGCCAGUGGUUAUCAUCAAUUUGACUCUGGUGUGCAGGUUGAUGAUAAAGAAGAAACUGUAAGUACUAUGAUCGAUGCUUACUCCCGGGAUCAUAUACUUCCUGAACCAGAUAAAGUAUAUCACUCUAG